Molecule: long non-coding RNA, 500 nt
Organism: Betta splendens (Siamese fighting fish)
Lineage: Eukaryota; Metazoa; Chordata; Actinopteri; Anabantiformes; Osphronemidae
Exons: 2
Source: RefSeq, a predicted model, not a curated record
CCCGUCUGACAGCUGAGGCUGGGCAGCGAAGAGGGGGAAGCUGCACGGCCACUCAGGACUCGCCUUCUGCACGUGACAAGCAAACUCUUAGUUUGGUUCUUACCAUCAGGAAUCGCCGUCCGGUCGGCGGCUACGUACCAGUUCACCUACUGCAAUCAAUCAGUCAUCAGUUGCUCUUCGUGACAUACGGUCACGAAUGAAAAGAUAAGGUGUCAGACCAUCUGAGAUGAAGAGCCAAUUCCCUUUAGAUGAGCAUGCACAGACGCCUCGUGUUCCAGGCUCGGCCCACUGGGAGGAGGCAGAGGACGACCCAGCUCACACUGGAGCAACUCUCCAUCCCACCUGGCCUGGUUGUCUGCUCAGACUGCUCCUCUAAUGCUCACCUGACUCUCCAUACGCUGAACUAUGUCCUGCUGCAGCCUCCACUGGGCAAUGCUCCUGUCCCCGUGACUGUGUUCAGAAUGCAGAUGCCUGGAAAGUAAAUAAAAGGAAGCUGAGAA